UAAUGAUCACUUCGAGGGGAUCGGCCUCCUUGAUCGCUUCGAGGGGAUCGGCCCUCCUUGAUCACUUCGAGGGGAUCGGCCCUCCUUGAUCUCUUCGAGGGGAUCGGCCCUCCUUGAUCUCUUCGAGGGGAUCGGCCUCCUAGGGUUUGUCCAAAGACAGAAUAGUAUUUUUCAUAGAUUACCGAAAAGAAGCAGUUACAUCCCUAUUUAUAGAGUUCCACCCAAAGUCCAUCAGGACUUGAACUCUAAUAAUAAAUAAAUAUUAAAUAAACGUCUACUUGACUCUAACUGAACCAAACCGACUCAAUAAACAACUGGACUAAACAGACUCAAUAAACAUUAUUCAAAAGCUUAGAAAAAG
RNAcentral lists this long non-coding RNA (361 nucleotides) under Musa acuminata (dwarf banana). RNAcentral describes it as "long non-coding RNA (MACU_LNC007879)". The record is from RNAcentral. Lineage: Eukaryota; Viridiplantae; Streptophyta; Magnoliopsida; Zingiberales; Musaceae.